UACAUGUGGGGCAAGCGUUGUUCGGAAUUACUGGGCAUAAAGGGCUCGUAGGCGGCCAACUAAGUCAAACGUGAAAUCCCUCGGCUUAACCGGGGAACUGCGUCUGAUACUGGAUGGCUUGAGUUUGGGAGAGGGAUGCGGAAUUCCAGGUGUAGCGGUGAAAUGCGUAGAUAUCUGGAGGAACACCGGUGGCGAAGGCGGCAUCCUGGACCAACACUGACGCUGAGGAGCGAAAGCCAGGGGAGCAAACGGG
This 253-nucleotide ribosomal RNA is filed under the name uncultured bacterium. RNAcentral's name for it is "partial 16S ribosomal RNA". It matches the Rfam family "Bacterial small subunit ribosomal RNA", at positions 524 to 776 of the family's 1533-position model. The record is from RNAcentral.